RNA transcript from Macaca mulatta (Rhesus monkey), 6159 nucleotides. It is a transcript of the gene named iodothyronine deiodinase 2, with no coding region annotated. The record is from RefSeq and is marked reviewed. NCBI's taxonomy places the organism in Eukaryota, Metazoa, Chordata, Mammalia, Primates, Cercopithecidae.
GUGAAGGGGAACCAGAGCGCACAAGGGAACUGACUCAGGAGGCAGAGAAGAUGGGCAUCCUCAGCGUAGACUUGCUGAUCACACUGCAAAUUCUGCCAGUUUUUUUCUCCAACUGCCUCUUCCUGGCGCUCUAUGACUCGGUCAUUCUGCUCAAGCACGUGGUGCUGCUGUUGAGCCGCUCCAAGUCCACUCGCGGAGAGUGGCGGCGCAUGCUGACCUCAGAGGGACUGCGCUGCGUCUGGAAGAGCUUCCUCCUCGAUGCCUACAAACAGCUAAAUUGUCCUCCAUCAGGUUUUAGCAAAGAUGGACACAUUUUAUGACUAGUAUAUGAAGCUUAUAAAAGCAGACUACUGGUCUACUCACAUUUGGAUUUAUGGAUGGUGAAAUUGGGUGAGGAUGCCCCCAAUUCCAGUGUGGUGCAUGUCUCCAGUGCAGAAGGAGGUGACAACAGUGGCCACGGUACCCAGGAGAAGAUAGCUGAGGGAGCCGCAUGCCACCUCCUUGACUUUGCUAGCCCUGAGCGCCCACUAGUGGUCAACUUUGGUUCAGCCACUUGACCUCCUUUCACGAGCCAGCUGCCAGCCUUCCGCAAACUGGUGGAAGAGUUCUCCUCAGUGGCCGACUUCCUGCUGGUCUACAUUGAUGAGGCUCAUCCAUCAGACGGCUGGGCGAUACCUGGGGACUCCUCUUUGUCUUUUGAGGUGAAGAAGCACCAGAACCAGGAAGAUCGAUGUGCAGCAGCCCAGCAGCUUCUGGAGCGUUUCUCCUUGCCGCCCCAGUGCCGAGUUGUGGCUGACCGCAUGGACAAUAACGCCAACAUAGCUUACGGGGUAGCCUUUGAACGUGUGUGCAUUGUGCAGAGACAGAAAAUCGCUUAUCUGGGAGGAAAGGGCCCCUUCUCCUACAACCUUCAAGAAGUCCGGCAUUGGCUGGAGAAAAAUUUCAGCAAGAGAUGAAAGAAAACUAGAUUAGCUGGUUAAAGGUAUGAUUAUAAGAGAGCUUAUUGUUUUAAAAAGUUGUAUAAAGGCAAGGACAUUAAGAACUGAAUCCCUAUUUCAACAGAGCCCUAUUGGCUUACUGAAAGACAGGAGUUUAUUGGAAGAACAUGAAUCUCUAACAGCUCCAUACUUCUUUCACUACUCAAAUGGCAUUGGGCUAAGUAGUAGCCGUAUCACCUCUCUUCUUAGUAAAAAGCCCUAUGUGAAAAGAUCCCAAGACGGAGAGGAAGAAACCCUGAUUCAGCGUGUGUUCAUUCUGCAUUGAGAAGGAACUGAUACAGCUGAUGCAUGCUUUGAGACCAGAGGAAAAGGCUUACCUGAAUAAUUACUACAUUAGGGAAGCCACUGUCUACGUUAAGAUAAAGGGUAUUGCCUUGGCUCUAUUUGGCAUGGAUGGAGCCCAGUUGGAAAAUUCCCAAAUGUUACAAGUUCUUGAGCCCAGGCCAUGUGGUUAGACGUUGGUGGUGUGAUUAGACGUUGGUGUUAAGGUUAGACCUUAUGUUAGAGUCAUUUCUGAUGUUCCAGUUUCUAGCCAUGUAGUGCUCUCAGUCUUUAUAUCCCAGAAUUUAUUGUUAUAUUUUAGAUACCAAGAAUGAUCCCUCAAUCUGGGAGGUUAGAAUGAUCAUCUGUAAUCUGAUGGUUAAUUUCUAGGCAGGUGGAGAGAGUGCUAAAAAAGAAAUGAAAUCGACAAGCUAGGGAGCAGGAGGCAGAAAGAUUUAGAAAAUUCACAGUUUCUAACCUUAAGCUGUAGAGAGUGGGACUCAUUUCUUAACCACAAAAACGUAGAAACAUACACAAGGCCAGAAAAAGAAGAAGGAGCUCAACUAAAGGUGGCACAGAGAAUACACAUAUAAAAACAAUAUAUUUGUCAUAUGCUCCUAGAGAGGAGAAAGGGGAGAUGGAAAGAAAAGAAAUACUUAAAUAUUUGUAAUUGUGAGGGGUUUCUUUUGGAAAUAAUUAUUUUUGAACCAUGUAUGUGGUAUGUAUAUUUUCAGUGGGUUAAUUAUACCCCAUGAUACCUAUUAAAGGAAAACCAGUGGGUCUGGUGGUGCUGGUGUUUUCCUCUCCAUUCCUACAAUUACUAUGUGGCCCAAGUCAUUCCUAAUCUCAGUCUCUAUAGCAGUGUUCUCUCUGAAUGCUGCGUUGAAGAAAUUAUACAUACAUACAUACAUACAUACAAAUAUAUAUAUAUAUAUACACACACACACACACACACACAGCUGCUGUGGGAGGUAGGUACCAUGGCCAUUCAGCACAGCCUUGAUUUCCUCCCACAGUAGGUGAGCUAUAAUGAAGAAUAGGUGCAAACAAACAAGCUUACUUCCAUUGCAAAAUAGAGGAAGAGGAAGUUAGAGAUAAUUCCGAUCAACCAUUUUGGAGGCUUUGUUAUAAGGCAACCCCCAGUAUCAUGGAAUUUCCAUUGACCUUUGAAUUUGGACUUGGAUCUUCCUUUGGUCCCAUUAGCUGAGGUUUAGUUCCUCAGUAUCUAAAGUCCCUAUAGUAUAUGAUUAUAAUGCUAUUUUAAUAUAUAUAUUUUUUCUUUUUAAAAUAGACACUAUAGUUUUACCCAUAAGUAAUAUUUAAGAUUAUAGCCCCCAAAAGAAUAGACCAACCAAUUUCAUAUCAUAAUUUCUUUUGUAAAUGUGAGACUAUUAUGAAAUCAUAGUAUAUGAUUGUAUUUGAUGGUACAGUCAAAGGAUCUUUUGUCCAUUCCAUUAAUAACUGAAUAAAAAAAUAAAAUGGAUAGAUAAAAACUAAAGUUGAAAAUACAUUCUUAAACUAGUUGUCUGAAAUGAGAAAAGCAUGAGAACUAGGUGUGCAAGAACCAAAAGUAUUUUAUUUUAUUUUAUUUUUUAAAUGGGAGCAACAUAUCAGUCACGUCACUAGCUGGUAUAUUGUGUAAAUAUUAAAGCUCCGUUGUGACUGAUUUUUCAUGGCAACAUCAGCUUUCUAAUGUUUUAAAUUCUAUAAAAACCACCCACAAAGAAACAAAACAAAUUUCAAAAAUGUGAUGUUAUCUAAUGAGUUGCUGGAAAAUCAUACUGAGAAUAAUCAUUUCCGAUUCCUCAGUUGUUAACCUCUACAUUCAAGGCUUAUCUCGGCCCCCAUUGAUUUUUAACCUCAAAAUGGUGUUGAGAUUUAUGUGGGACGCUAAAGCAGUAACAUAAAGAACCCAGUUGCAGCACAUUCACACUGUUGUCCUUAAGCUUCCCCUUUGUUCUAUAUGUACGAUAAUGUAACAGUAUGUCAGAUAAGCCGGUGGGGGGAUGAGAUUUGGCUGAGGCAGUGCUAGUCAACUGGGGAAAAGGAUGAUGGAAAAAUCACCCAGUUGUGCUAUAUUUUUAAAGAAGGAGGUCGUUUAUGUGUGUGCAGACAAUUCUCCCUGAGGAUAGCCCAAUGGAGAAAUGAAGCAGAGGAAGGAAACAUAGAAAGACAUAGGCUACCAGGGAGGAAGAUGUUCAAUAGAACAUGUAAGAAUUUUCUGGAAGAAAGGCUGUGGAAGGGCCAAUGGAGAAAAUGAAUGGACAAAGCUCAGGAAUCCUACACUAUGUAGAAUGCCUUGGUGUUAUCAGGGUUAAGUCUGUAAUUAUGUAACCUAUUUAUCGCAACAUGAAUUUUUAUGAUUUCUUGUGGUGUAUUCUUUUAUGAAAUUAACAAGAACUCAUUAUUUUGAGGUAGAGGAAAAUCAAUGCUUUAGCUGAUAUGCUGAGAAAUUAUUAGUUUGCCAAUACUCACCUACCUAUCAUGUGUUUUAUAAGGUAUGUUCCUUUGAAGAAUUGUAGUUCUUAGUCUCACAGGGAAAAGUAUAUCUAUUUAUAUAUCAUAGUAUAAAUCUAUGAUAUAUUUAUAUCAUAUAUAAAAGUCUGAGUUCUCUUUCUUAUUCCCUAAUCAUGUUUCUCCCAUAGGCUGUGUUUACAUGGAGCUAUCAGUUAGGCCUUUUAAGCUGCAUUAGCUUGUCUAUUAUUGAAAUAGUUUCCAAGAAAAUUUAGAUAUUAUCAUAGCAUCUGGGUUUACUCAAACACUUAUUGUUUGAAAGACUUAUGUCUUGGAACUAUCAAAAACUGACUUUAUUUAUUGCUUAGUGAAAAUAUUAGUGGGAUCAACAAUGAUUUUCUUGAACGGGCAUGAAUGGAGAUGCCUGCAUAGUAAUGUAGAAGUGUUUCAUACAGCUAUUAAAAUGUAACUGACCUCCUUAGAGGCAGAUUAGUAACUGUUCCUGCUUUGUAUAGCUAAGUGACAGCCACUUAACUUACAUGACUUUCUUUUUUCACAUUGGGUCUCUGGUCCUGUGUCUUCACCUCAUUUAUAGAACGUCUCCUUGAUUUUUGGUAAUAUCAACUUCCCAGGGGUCUGCUUAGUUAAUUUUUUCUCCCAUUAACCAGGAAGUGCUUAUUCUCUCAUCAAGGUGGGAAGAAUAGCCUAUUGUCUUUCAUUUUGCCUGAGUGUAUUUUACUAUUUGGGCUCUUAAAUAAAAAUUAUGAAAUAUCGUGAGGUCACAUGUUGGUGCUGCCUUGCUGCACAAAAUUCUAGAGGGCAGGUUAGAGACAAUAUGUAUGCCUUUGGGAAAAGCCAAAGGUGGAUUAUAAGGUGUUCUCAGCACGUCCUGUGGGCUAUGUGCAAAGCAAGAGGGAUUGACUGAUUUACAGGAUGUCCCUUUAUGUCAAUCAUAAGAGGAUGGAUGAAUCUGGACAUUUGUUCCACCCGACCUCUGACUGAUGGUUUGGAAAAUAAGUUUAAUUAGAGUCAUAUGACCAUUGAAAAAGGAAAAAUGUAGACACUGACUUCUGUCCUACUGAAGGAUUAAUGAAAACCUUUACCAGCAUUUAGAGCUUUUCAGAACAUCCCCAAUGUCAUGUGUCUCAGCAGUGGAGACUGACAGUAAGGCUUUUGACUUUAGGAGCCUCUUUUUUUUCCCCCCUUAAUGGUAUUGCCAAAAAUCAGAGUUAAAAUAUAUAUAGUUAGAUUCCAACUUCCUCCUUCACUCUAAAAAUAGAAUCCAAACCCACUCUUCAUAUAUACUUCCGGAAUGGGGCUUGAGUACCAAUGUCUGCUUUGCAACUGGCACAAUCUUGGUCAUGUCCUGAGGCUCUCUAAGAAAAGAGAGGAUCUAGGGUGGGAGAGCUAGAAAGUUGCUAACUGGGAAGAACAAGGCCCUGAGGGCUUGGUCUACAAAUCUGGGAAGAUUUGAAAACAAACUUCUCACAACUGAAGGAAGGCUGAAGGCUGCUGCAAGUCAUUGAGUGACUUUAGGAUGAGCAAAACAUCGGGCCACUUCCUAAUGCCCUAUGUGUAUAGUACCAGAAGCAAGGUCUCAGAUUUAACAGACCCAGCUCUGUUCCAAGGUGAGUCUGAACCAAUAGAAGGCAAACAUGUGCAGAUAUCCAAACAAGACUGCUCAUGCAAGUCAGGGCUGACUGCCCGUCUUAGGCAGCAACAGCAGAGCUCCAGGGAGCUUAUUCAAUAUUUACUGAGACUUCGAAGACCCAGCAGAUGUUUAAUGAAGUCACUAUUUUGGCUCAAACCCUCCAUUUCUCCCCCUCCCCUGAAAAAGCAAACAGGUAAACACAUGAAUGAAAGAAACCCACAGAAGGGGAUGGGAAAUAAAGAAAAUUCUCUCAAGACUUCUCCAGGCCCAUGUCACUGGUCAGUGUGGGUUUUAUGUGUGUUAGGAUUGGGGGAUGUAAAGAAAUAAGUAUCCAGUAUUUUAUAACCAAAGCAAUGAAAUGAUAUUGGGUAGGGAAUGUUGGCCAGUUUUGUUUAGUUUUGCAUCACAUUGUCACCAGACUCACUAGCCCAAGUAAUCGGGCACCCGAAGAGGGAGACAGAGAUGUGCAGAGUUGACCAGUGUGCGGAUGAUAACUACUGACGAAAGAGUCAUCGACUCAGUUAGUGGUUGGAUGUAGUCACAUUAGUUUGCCUCUCCCCAUCUUUGUCUCCCUGGCAAGGAGAAUAUUCGGGACAUGAUGCUAAGAGUCCUGGGUAAAUGUGGUGAGAAUGCAUGCGUGCAUAUGCUACUCAUAUGUGCUUCUCAGUUGCAGAAAAUGAACUGCUUUGGAGAUUAUCAGUAGAAAGAGUGCUAUCAUAUGGGUGCUGAGUGGUAUGUGUGCUUAUACAAUUUGUUCUUGUAUUUUAAUAAACUUUGAAUAAAAGAAUAAAGCUA